GGGCGCAGCCUGAUCCAGCAUGCCGCGUGUGUGAAGAAGGCCUGCGGGUUGUAAAGCACUUUAAGCAGGAAAGAAGGGUGGGGUGUUAAUACCAUCUCACAUUGACGUUACCUGCAGAAUAAGCACCGGCUAACUCCGUGCCAGCAGCCGCGGUAAUACGGAGGGUGCGAGCGUUAAUCGGAAUUACUGGGCGUAAAGCGCGCGUAGGCGGUUUGAUAAGUCUGAU
Molecule: ribosomal RNA, 226 nt
Filed under: uncultured type I methanotroph
Lineage: Bacteria; Pseudomonadati; Pseudomonadota; Gammaproteobacteria; Methylococcales; Methylococcaceae
Description: partial 16S ribosomal RNA
Rfam family: Bacterial small subunit ribosomal RNA
Source: RNAcentral